RNAcentral lists this microRNA (21 nucleotides) under Human betaherpesvirus 5. RNAcentral describes it as "hcmv-miR-UL148D". Its record names the gene hcmv-miR-UL148D. Lineage: Duplodnaviria; Heunggongvirae; Peploviricota; Herviviricetes; Herpesvirales; Orthoherpesviridae. The record is from miRBase by way of RNAcentral.
UCGUCCUCCCCUUCUUCACCG